UUCGAGCGUCAGCGAGAAAGCGUUGCCGCAGGCAACGACCCGAAGGGCGAAGCGCGCAGCGCUGAGUCAUCCUUCCCCCACCACCA
This 86-nucleotide small RNA is filed under the name Salmonella enterica. Its description in RNAcentral is "partial RtT sRNA". It matches the Rfam family "RtT RNA", at positions 47 to 130 of the family's 130-position model. Rfam says of the family: This family represents a bacterial cis-regulatory element known as RtT RNA. The exact function of RtT is unknown although it is thought that it may be involved in changing the cellular response in relation to amino acid starvation. The record is from RNAcentral. RNAcentral also lists the same sequence under 5 other names. Lineage: Bacteria; Pseudomonadati; Pseudomonadota; Gammaproteobacteria; Enterobacterales; Enterobacteriaceae.